Long non-coding RNA from Medicago truncatula (barrel medic), 655 nucleotides. RefSeq lists it as uncharacterized. The record is from RefSeq and is a predicted model, not a curated record. Lineage: Eukaryota; Viridiplantae; Streptophyta; Magnoliopsida; Fabales; Fabaceae. The transcript has 3 exons.
GUAGACAAAACAUGGAAGCUACUAGAUUUUUCCCACACACCCUUUUCUCAUUCUCUUUCCCGUAUUCCUCUUUCCUCUUUGUUCUUUCAUGUCACCACUUCUUCCUCUUCCAAAUUUUCUACUUUUUCCUUCAAAUCAUCAAUUUUCUUCCUCAAAUCGAACACCCAAAAUAAAUAUUAUGCAUCUAAGCAAGCUAUUUCAUAGCACAAGCUCUAUUUGGUAGAAUUUUGGGAUAUGAGUUUGUGCCUUGGGAAAGAAGAGGAAUACCCAUAUAGUGAAAGUUGUUCAUUGAGACUUCUUCGAGAUAUGACGCCAGACGCUUCACAUGCUUCUUCAGGAGUGGUUAGAGCGCAAACAUAGUUGAUUCGUCGUAACUAUUCAAAGUCAAGUGCGUAGAAAGCUUGUAGCAGAGUUAAAGAUAUAUCAAUGUCAUUCUUUUGGUAGGUCUCCUAUGUGUAUGAACUGAAUGGUCGAUGUAUCCGCAGCUAUUGGUAGUCUAGAAAUAUUUUGUUUUGAAUUGUAUAAACAUCUAGUUAUGUCACUUUGAGAUUCUGCUGAUAAUACAAGUAUAUAGACAGAAUUCAUAUCUUGGAUAGUAUUAAAAAAUUCAAAGGACACUCUGUCGAAAUUUCAUUGAAUAUCAUUUUAAGUGAAA